CGCUCACAUUUCCUGUCAUCAGCCUCCAGCCUCCUUUUGUUGACAGCUGAUUUUACCUGAGUUGAAUAAUACCUGACUCAUUUUUAUUAUAUUACCCAUCCUUUCUGCUUCCAUUUACGCUUCCUCAUAAGAGCCUUUGUAGUCUUUUUUGUCCUUUUUCUGGGGUCAUGUCUGUAAAUCUGCAAUCUGCCGUCGCCUCUUCUCGUUGUCGCCCAUCAACUCUUUUGCUCCCGUCGAUUGACGUUGUUUUCUGCUUUGCAUUUGUACAAUGGUUAUAGAGUUUCUCCGGCUUUCUUUGCAUUUGUACAAUGGUCCCAGCAGAUUUUCUGCUGCUCAACAUCAUGAACAGUGGUUGAGAGGUCAGACUAUUAACUAAACCAUGAAGAAAUGUGGAGAUUGUUCUCUAAAGGUAUGAAAUUUGGAGAUUUUCUCCAUCGUCGUCAUGCUAUUUUACAGGUACAGCCAAGAGAAGAUCAUCACCGAGAAACAUUCUGUGCAAUUUUGCUUCCUUGGGAUUUGUCCUUCUUCAUCUCAGGGGUGCGUUCAAUUAUUGACUCACAAUAGACGAUCCAUAUGGUGCAAAUGAUUGAAGAUGUAGUCACUCCGAAACCAGUUCAUGGAAUAACAAACUUUGUUCCCAUUUUAAACAGCAAGCGAAAUGGGACAAAAAAAAAGAAGGCCAUGAAAAGAAGCAAGGAGGGAAAAUAUGGAUCUUCAUCAGAACAUAAGGAGAAGAUGAGAAGAGGAAUAAGCAGAUGAAGAGAAAAGUAUGAAUCUUCAGCCCAAUCAGGUUAUAAGUUUCUUUAAUUUAAGCAGUUUUUGUAAGGUUUUAUUUUAGUUCAAAAUACAUUUUUAAAUGAGUUUUUGAAAUGAAAAUGAGGUGAGGCUGAUGAAGGGAAAGAACAGAUCUUUGGUUUGAUUGAAUGCUUUAAGUUUUUUCUGUUACUUUUUCUUUGUAACUUGAGCAGUCUUCUGAGUUUCUUUCUUGUUUGCCUUUUUUUUUUAUUUCUGACUUUCUAUUAUGGAAUGUGAAGCAAAAAAGAAAGAAGAAAUAAUAAAAUUUCAUAGUCCUAAGCGAUUUUUUUUUAAAAAAAAAAAUUUGUGUGAGUUGCAUCUAUAGUUGUAGAAUUAGUUAUUAGAAUGAUUGAAAAAUUGGAUUUUGAUCGACUCAUUGUAGAUGGUAAGAGCUUGAAAGUAAUUGAUCAGAUAAUGCUUAGGAUCACAUCAGAUUGUUUUUGCUUUGAGUUUUCAUUUUUUGUUGGUUUAUUCAUUGUGUAAUUAUUUAUUAUGCUUUCAAUAAGAUUUGAUUUUGAUAAGAUUGUGUGAGGAUUCUAAUAGCUUUCAAAUGAUAAGGUAGAUAGUAGAAUCAUUUAUCCUUUUUGGUUUGGGGUUUCAUUUCAAUUUGUGGGAAUUAGGUACCAGAAGAGCUAUAUUUUGUGUUAUCAAUGUUAAUUAUCAUUGGAUUUGCUAAAAUUAGCAUUUGUGGUGUACAUUUAAAGCUUAAAGUAAUGCAAUUCAAAGCUUAAAGUAAUAAAUAGUGCUAUAGUGCCACAAAAAUUCAAGGCAUUAGUUAGACGAUUUUAGAAUCAAAACAAGGAGGAAUAACGAACAUCAUAGGUUAAGCUUACUAUUGCUUUAGGUAGAAUAAUUUCAAAUGUAUUGCACUUUGAAUAUGUCUGAAGAUCUACGUUGUAUUUGAUUGAACUGUUCCACUGAUGAUGCAUUAUCCUGUUGGGUUUAAUUAUUCUCGCUGGUUUUGAUUAAGAUUGUCUUUGUUGCUUUCUCGAUUCCUGAGAUAUGAUCCUUUUUCUUUUGUUUAGAAACAUUAAAAUUACCUCUCGUGCACUUGAAGUGUGAAGAUGCUCAUGGAUUAUUUGCAUUAAUAUCAUCAAGAAAUUUUGUCAGAUCUCGUUGCUUUUGGUUUCUCCUGAGGUAUUUGCAUUCAUGGGAAUGAGAGGAGAAUCAGAAUGAAGCUGGAGCUCUCUGAUGCUAUUAGUCAUUGAAAGUCUAGAGUCAUUUUGCUUGUGGCCAAUUAGAAAUACUUUUUUCUUUUCUUUGUCAAUUUUUUCAAUUGGCACUGGUAUACGUUUAGUCUUACUAAGUAGAUUUUCUCUUUAUACUGCAUGUAUAUGCAUUUUAUUAUUCGUUUGAAUAUAUUGUAAAAGAAACUUAUUGUUGUUAAAUAUCCUUUUCUAGGAACUGACAACUUGAUUUGUGGUUUUUAUCAACAAAAAACAAACUCAUAGCUAUUAAAUGCCUUUUUUAGGAACUAA
Non-coding RNA from Coffea arabica (coffee), 2273 nucleotides. The record is from RefSeq and is a predicted model, not a curated record. NCBI's taxonomy places the organism in Eukaryota, Viridiplantae, Streptophyta, Magnoliopsida, Gentianales, Rubiaceae.